GACGGAGGGGGCAAGCGUUGUUCGGAAUUAUUGGGCGUAAAGAGCUCGUAGGCGGUUUGUCGCGUCGGCCGUGAAAACUUGGGGCUUAACUCCAAGCUUGCGGUCGAUACGGGCAGACUUGAGUUCGGCAGGGGAGACUGGAAUUCCUGGUGUAGCGGUGAAAUGCGCAGAUAUCAGGAGGAACACCGGUGGCGAAGGCGGGUCUCUGGGCCGACACUGACGCUGAGGAGCGAAAGCGUGGGGAGCGAACAGG
This 253-nucleotide ribosomal RNA is filed under the name uncultured bacterium. RNAcentral's name for it is "partial 16S ribosomal RNA". It matches the Rfam family "Bacterial small subunit ribosomal RNA", at positions 524 to 776 of the family's 1533-position model. The record is from RNAcentral.